RNAcentral lists this long non-coding RNA (208 nucleotides) under Lathyrus oleraceus (garden pea). RNAcentral describes it as "Pisum sativum (pea) long non-coding RNA (PSAT_LNC016134)". Lineage: Eukaryota; Viridiplantae; Streptophyta; Magnoliopsida; Fabales; Fabaceae. The record is from RNAcentral.
UGUACGCUAUGAGCCUUAAGAAACAAAGAAUGAUGAGAGUGGAGAAUUCCUAUCCUUGUCUAGAAUAUCCUUGGGUAUGGGAUGCUUGACCCAGUUGCUCAAGGUAUUUGCCUUUGUUCAUAUAGUGCAAUUUGAAUCAUCCAAUUAACAAGUCUUCUUCAAGCAAGCAUCAACCAUUUAACACUUCAACAAUGAAGCAUCAUUGUAC